UCAAUGUAUAAAACUCAUUAAAAGUAAAGUGACAUUGCUCCCAUCCUUACUGAAUGUUGAAUGAGGUAUGGUUUUUAAAAGAGGAUGGAAAAGCUCGUAGGUUCGAAGAAAGAAACUGUUGUAGCAGCCGAAAAUUACAAAACUGGUCUGCAUUGAUCAUGAAGAAGGAAGAAGGUUGAUGUAAGGUGUUUUAACAUUUAAAAGAAAAGAAUGACAAGGUAAUGUUAAAGCUUACCAUCCGAGGAAGGAGGAAUGAGCUCGAUGACAAGCUUGUUGCGGUGGAGAAGAUGACAGU
Molecule: long non-coding RNA, 295 nt
Filed under: Carica papaya (papaya)
Lineage: Eukaryota; Viridiplantae; Streptophyta; Magnoliopsida; Brassicales; Caricaceae
Description: long non-coding RNA (CPAP_LNC008279)
Source: RNAcentral